This 397-nucleotide ribosomal RNA is filed under the name Babesia vogeli. RNAcentral describes it as "SSU rRNA". It matches the Rfam family "Eukaryotic small subunit ribosomal RNA", at positions 438 to 891 of the family's 1831-position model. Lineage: Eukaryota; Apicomplexa; Aconoidasida; Piroplasmida; Babesiidae. The record is from RNAcentral.
UAAUACCCAAUCCUGACACAGGGAGGUAGUGACAAGAAAUAACAAUACAGGGCUAAUGUCUUGUAAUUGGAAUGAUGGUGACCCAAACCCUCACCAGAGUAGCAAUUGUUUUGCAAGUCUGGUGCCAGCAGCCGCGGUAAUUCCAGCUCCAAUAGCGUAUAUUAAACUUGUUGCAGUUAAAAAGCUCGUAGUUGAAUUUUAGCGUGUUCGAGUUUGCCAUUCGUUUGGCUUUUUCGAGUUCGCUUUUGGGUUUUCCCUUUUUACUUUGAGAAAAUUAGAGUGUUUCAAGCAGACUUUUGUCUUGAAUACUUCAGCAUGGAAUAAUAGAGUAGGACUUUGGUUCUAUUUUGUUGGUUAUUGAACCUUAGUAAUGGUUAAUAGGAACGGUUGGGGGCAU